RNAcentral lists this ribosomal RNA (1469 nucleotides) under Klebsiella pneumoniae. RNAcentral describes it as "bacterial LSU rRNA". It matches the Rfam family "Bacterial large subunit ribosomal RNA", at positions 1494 to 2925 of the family's 2925-position model. Lineage: Bacteria; Pseudomonadati; Pseudomonadota; Gammaproteobacteria; Enterobacterales; Enterobacteriaceae. The record is from RNAcentral.
GGCGACGGUUGUCCCGGUUUAAGCAUGUAGGCUGGUUGUCCAGGCAAAUCCGGAUAAUCAAGGCUGAGGUGUGAUGACGAGGCACUACGGUGCUGAAGUAACAAAUGCCCUGCUUCCAGGAAAAGCCUCUAAGCAUCAGGUAACAUCAAAUCGUACCCCAAACCGACACAGGUGGUCAGGUAGAGAAUACCAAGGCGCUUGAGAGAACUCGGGUGAAGGAACUAGGCAAAAUGGUGCCGUAACUUCGGGAGAAGGCACGCUGGUGUGUAGGUGAAGUCCCUGCGGAUGGAGCUGAGACCAGUCGAAGAUACCAGCUGGCUGCAACUGUUUAUUAAAAACACAGCACUGUGCAAACACGAAAGUGGACGUAUACGGUGUGACGCCUGCCCGGUGCCGGAAGGUUAAUUGAUGGGGUUAUCCGUAAGGAGAAGCUCUUGAUCGAAGCCCCGGUAAACGGCGGCCGUAACUAUAACGGUCCUAAGGUAGCGAAAUUCCUUGUCGGGUAAGUUCCGACCUGCACGAAUGGCGUAAUGAUGGCCAGGCUGUCUCCACCCGAGACUCAGUGAAAUUGAACUCGCUGUGAAGAUGCAGUGUACCCGCGGCAAGACGGAAAGACCCCGUGAACCUUUACUAUAGCUUGACACUGAACAUUGAGCCUUGAUGUGUAGGAUAGGUGGGAGGCUUUGAAGCGUGGACGCCAGUCUGCGUGGAGCCAACCUUGAAAUACCACCCUUUAAUGUUUGAUGUUCUAACGUUGGCCCCUUACCGGGGUUGCGGACAGUGUCUGGUGGGUAGUUUGACUGGGGCGGUCUCCUCCCAAAGCGUAACGGAGGAGCACGAAGGUUAGCUAAUCCUGGUCGGACAUCAGGAGGUUAGUGCAAUGGCAUAAGCUAGCUUGACUGCGAGCGUGACGGCGCGAGCAGGUGCGAAAGCAGGUCAUAGUGAUCCGGUGGUUCUGAAUGGAAGGGCCAUCGCUCAACGGAUAAAAGGUACUCCGGGGAUAACAGGCUGAUACCGCCCAAGAGUUCAUAUCGACGGCGGUGUUUGGCACCUCGAUGUCGGCUCAUCACAUCCUGGGGCUGAAGUAGGUCCCAAGGGUAUGGCUGUUCGCCAUUUAAAGUGGUACGCGAGCUGGGUUUAGAACGUCGUGAGACAGUUCGGUCCCUAUCUGCCGUGGGCGCUGGAGAAUUGAGGGGGGCUGCUCCUAGUACGAGAGGACCGGAGUGGACGCAUCACUGGUGUUCGGGUUGUCAUGCCAAUGGCACUGCCCGGUAGCUAAAUGCGGAAGAGAUAAGUGCUGAAAGCAUCUAAGCACGAAACUUGCCCCGAGAUGAGUUCUCCCUGAGACUUUAAGUCUCCUGAAGGAACGUUGAAGACGACGACGUUGAUAGGCCGGGUGUGUAAGCGCAGCGAUGCGUUGAGCUAACCGGUACUAAUGAACCGUGAGGCUUAACCUUACAACGCCGAAG